GAAAGUAAAGAAGGGCGCAUGGCGGAUGCCUUGGCUCUCGGAGGCGAUGAAGGACGUGAUAAGCUGCGAUAAGCUUCGGGUAGGUGCAAAUAACCUUUGAUCCGAAGAUUUCCGAAUGGGACAACCCGUCAUUCUGAAGGAAUGACAUCUUGCAUAGCAAGAGGCUAACGCAGGGAACUGAAACAUCUUAGUACCUGCAGGAAAAGAAAAUAACAAUGAUUCCCCCAGUAGUGGCGAGCGAACGGGGAAGAGCCUAAACCACCGGUGUUACGGCACAGGUGGGGUUGUAGGACCGCGUCGUUGCAAGAAAUCUUGCGAGAAGAACGAUCUGGAAAGUUCGGCCGAAGACGGUGACAGCCCGGUAUUCGAAGCAAGACGAAGCAUAGCGGUAUCCUGAGUAGCGCGGAACACGAGGAAUUCUGCGUGAAUCUGCCGGGACCAUCCGGCAAGGCUAAAUACUCCCGAGAGACCGAUAGUGGACCAGUACCGUGAGGGAAAGGUGAAAAGCACUUCGAACAGAAGAGUGAAAUAGUACCUGAAACCGUGCGCCUACAAGCGGUCGGAGCUCCGCAAGGAGUGACGGCGUGCCUUUUGCAUAAUGAACCUACGAGUUGCCGUCGUUGGCAAGGUUAAGGGACAUGAGUCCCGCAGCCGAAGCGAAAGCGAGUCUGAAGAGGGCGUCAAGUCAGCGGCGGCAGACGCGAAACCAAGUGAUCUACCCUUGGCCAGGAUGAAGUCUGGGUAACACCAGAUGGAGGUCCGCACCAAUAAGCGUUGAAAAGCUUCUGGAUGAGCUGAGGGUAGGGGUGAAAGGCUAAUCAAACUUGGAGAUAGCUCGUACUCCCCGAAAUGCAUUUAGGUGCAGCCUCGUGGAUUACUGAUGUGAGGUAGAGCGACUGAUUGGAUGCGAGGGCUUCACCGCCUAUCAAGUCCUGACAAACUCCGAAUGCGCAUCAGUUUUACCCCGGGAGUGAGGGCAUGGGUGCUAAGGUCCGUGCCCGAGAGGAGAAGAAUCCGGACCACCUGCUAAGGUCCCGAAAUGACAGCUAAGUUAAACUAACGAAGUCUGACUGCUAAGACAGCUAGGAUGUUGGCUUGGAAGCAGCCAUUCAUUUAAAGAGUGCGUAACAGCUCACUAGUCGAGGAAUCGGGCAUGGAUAAUAAUCGGGUAUAAGUUGUCUACCGAAGCCGUGGAACCAGCAAUGGUUGGUAGGGGAGCAUUCCAUUCGGCGUCGAAGGCGUACCGCGAGGUACUCUGGAGCGUAUGGAAAAGCAAAUGUAGGUAUAAGUAACGAUAAAGGGGGUGAGAACCCCCCUCGCCGAAAGACUAAGGUUUCCUGAUCAACGCUAAUCGGAUCAGGGUCAGUCGGGUCCUAAGGCUCAGCCGAACGGCGAGGCCGAUGGCAGAAACGGUUAAUAUUCCGUUACUACCUUGGAGGGUGACGUGGAGAAGCAGAAGUGACACUGCCGCGGGCUGACGGAAUAGCCCGUUAAAGAGUGUAGGUGCUGAUUCCCGCAGGCAAAUCCGCGGGAAGAGCCGAACUUGACAGUAUGGAGCGUCCUCCGGGACAAUCCAACAGCGCAGGUAAGCAGACUGCCGAGAAAAUCCGCUAAACAUAACUUCCAUGGUACCCGUACCGCAAACGGACACACGUAGUCGGGUUGAAUAUACUAAGGCGCUUGAGUGAUUCACGGUUAAGGAACUAGGCAAACUGACCCUGUAACUUCGGGAUAAAGGGUCCCUACCCGGUGACGGGAGGGCGCAGAGAAUAGGUCCAGGCAACUGUUUAACAAAAACACAGGGCUGUGCGAAUAUGAAAGUAGAAGUAUACAGCCUGACACCUGCCCGGUGCUGGAAGGUUAAGAGGAGAUGUCAUCGCAAGAGAAGCAUUGAAUUGAAGCCCCAGUAAACGGCGGCCGUAACUAUAACGGUCCUAAGGUAGCGAAAUUCCUUGUCGGGU
RNAcentral lists this ribosomal RNA (1961 nucleotides) under human gut metagenome. RNAcentral describes it as "bacterial LSU rRNA". It matches the Rfam family "Bacterial large subunit ribosomal RNA", at positions 1 to 1977 of the family's 2925-position model. The record is from RNAcentral.